UGUAUGAUUUGUGUGAUUUUGAGAGAAAAAUAGAGGAAUCCCAGUUAUCCCCUUUGGUGUGCAAAAAAUAGCAUCUAGAAGUGUCCAAAACGUUUGUUUACAUUGUUUAAUUGAUGGUUCCUUCGUAGUUUACCUUUGUGGGGUCUUCUCUUAACCUUUGUGGUCAUAAAUCAUCACUUUUUCUUGUCCUACAUGUGUAAGAUUGAAUAGCAACUGAGAUAAAUUAUAUUUGUUGUGAUUUGGAGUUGGUUGGAUUGAUUGUUGGUAGAGAAAUAUACGUUGGACUGAGCCCGAAAAUCACCAAUUUGAAGAUCACAGAGACCACUGGUAUGACGUACAGGUGGAGGCAGACCCUACGGUUAGGUGUGUGUUUUCGAUGGAGGCGCAUGGCGAUGGCGAGUGAAGCCGACAUGCAGAGAAGGUGGAGGUGCGUGAGGGCACGUGAGGAAGUUUUUGGCAAUGGUUCCUUUAGUCAAUUUGUUCCUCACAUUAUUUUUGACAUUUUUGUGUUGAAAGUUUUUUGUUUUGGGGUCUGCAAUAGAAUUUGGACAACGUUGUUCUUUCAACGUUCGGAAUUCGAUCAUGGUUCGUUGGUUGCUGUAGUUGCUAGAGGUUUUAGGACGAAUAGUGGUGGUCUUAAAGUGUUAAACUUGCCUACUUCAUAAUUUACAAACUCAAAUUAGUCCACUCUGGUAAAUUGGUUGAAACUUUUACAUUAUCGCACUAGCAGAUCAUCGUAUGAGGGUGAUCAUUAGGAUUGGAGGUUGUCAUUGCUCGGCAACCAUUGCUUGUGCUAGAAAAUUUAGGAAUUAU
This 813-nucleotide long non-coding RNA is filed under the name Olea europaea subsp. europaea. Lineage: Eukaryota; Viridiplantae; Streptophyta; Magnoliopsida; Lamiales; Oleaceae. The record is from RNAcentral.